GGAAUUAGAAUACAUUGGAGCAAUACUCCAUAUUUUUGAAGUAAAAUGAUCUCCAAACCAGAAUUCUAUACCCAGCCACACUACCAAUGAGGAAGCUACUAGAGGAUGUGCUUCAUCCAAACAAGGGAGUAAACCAAGAAAGAGGGAAACAUAGAACACUGGACUUAAGAAAUCCAACAAUGAGAAGCAAAGGGAAUCUCCUGGAUGAUGAUAAAGAGAGAGCCCAGGAUGAAAGCUGUAUGCCAGGGAAGGUCCUGAUUAGACCAUGUGACAAGUCUUCAGGAAAGACUGCUUCUGGAUGAUAAAAUGAACUGAAUACCUGUUAAAGACUUGGGGGUCAAAUUUGUAAUAAGUACCAAGCAAAGAAGAAUUUAAAAAAUGACGAGUCCCAAGGGAAACAAUAUGUUGUAAAGAAAAAGUAGCUAUAGUUUGUUCAUGACAUAACUGUAACUUGCCUUGUACAUGGCAAUAUAAACACCGAAUCUUCCUGACUUUGUGAAAGAACAAUAUUGGGCAAAUGCGCAGGUUUUGGAAGGUUCCAUAUGUAGGGGGAUGGAGGGAGAGAUUAGCAAAAUCCUCCUUUUCUAUAGCUAAUACCUAUAAAGUGCUACAACACCC
Long non-coding RNA from Piliocolobus tephrosceles (Ugandan red Colobus), 618 nucleotides. RefSeq lists it as uncharacterized. The record is from RefSeq and is a predicted model, not a curated record. Lineage: Eukaryota; Metazoa; Chordata; Mammalia; Primates; Cercopithecidae. The transcript has 2 exons.